This is a long non-coding RNA of Myotis myotis, 1400 nucleotides long. RefSeq lists it as uncharacterized. NCBI's taxonomy places the organism in Eukaryota, Metazoa, Chordata, Mammalia, Chiroptera, Vespertilionidae. The record is from RefSeq and is a predicted model, not a curated record. The transcript has 6 exons.
UGGCCUCCGCCCCAGUCCCGGGGCGCCCCAGUCCCCACCUGUAGGAGAGCGGGUGGCCUGGUCCGGAGUAGAGGGUGGUGGGAGGUGGGCCCUGGCCGGAGACCCUGGUGAAAGCCUAGCUUCCCCCAUCCGUCCCUGCCCCGUGUUCAUCCCUAGUGGGAUUUUUUAUUUCGUCAGUUAACAGGUAGGUAUCAACCCACUGCGCAUCGGGCAUGUUCGAGGCACUGGGAACCCAGCAGAGAACAAAACAGAAGUGGACCCACUGGCGCUUAAUGAAUGCGGUGGCCAGGAGGAAGCCUCUAACUCACCCCUCAGCUCCUGGAAGUCUCAGGAAUCUCUCAGGAGGAACUGAGGCUGCAAGAAACAGAGAAGAAAUGUGGACCCGGGUUUGAGUUCCCAUUCACCUGGCUGUUCGUUCUUGCCAGGGGUCUGUCGGAUGGGAAGGAAAGCUUGAGGACACAGCGGCAGGUGUACAGGAGACUCACCGACGUGCUCGUUGGAACAGCAAGAAGCCAGAGACUGGGGAAGCAAGAGGAAGGUCCAUCGGUGGAAGAAGGGAAGGCGGUCUACACACCCAGCAUAGAAUAUUAUUAAUGACUAAAGAGAAUAAAAUGUUGCAUAUGGAUGUGAAUGACCUUCGACAUGGUAUUAAGUGGAAGACAAGCAAGGCACAGGAGGGACGAGGUCUGCUCACAUUUGCUCAGCCCUGCUCACCACAGCCCUGGAAGGAUGCACAAGGAAGGAACUGCUGAUCGCUUCUGGGGAGCCAGCCCUGGAGGAGAAGGGUGGGAGGCACGCUCAUCUUUGAAUACGCUUGGAAUGCUGAACCAUUCCUAGGAUGCAUAUCUAAACAUCUCUGUGGAGCAUGAAAACACCUUAACAACGAACGCCCUUACACGUGGAUUUGCUUACAGGCCAGUGAUGUCCUCACAGCCAUGAAGACUAUAUACGUUUAGAUGGGAGUGCUACUGGAGCCUUCCUACGGAAACAAAGACCCAAAGGAACCUGAAUGAAGACUCGGAAACCUGAGUGUGUAUAUGCUGGGUUUGGUGAAGAGUGGGCAUCAUGUAAACAUGUGAAUAAAAGAUAUAUAUAUAUAUAUGAAAAAAGAUGGAAAGGAUGUUGAAGAAUAUGCUACCCCAAAAUACGCCAUUUUGGCAUACUGAUUAUUUUGAAGUGAAAUUAUUUUAAAAACAGCCAGUGCAAGGACAGUCUGACCCUCCUUUGCACUUUGGACGAAUGAAGCACGGACCAGGAGGGUGGAAGGCAUCUUUAUCACUAGAGACAGGGAAACUAGGGCUGAGAAAACUACUAGUAUAUAAACCAGUGAUGGCGAACCUGUGACACGCGUGUCAGAGGUGACACGCGAACUCAUUUUUUUGGUUGAUUUUUCUUUGUUA